This 561-nucleotide ribosomal RNA is filed under the name Burkholderia sp. R6-7. RNAcentral describes it as "bacterial SSU rRNA". It matches the Rfam family "Bacterial small subunit ribosomal RNA", at positions 137 to 692 of the family's 1533-position model. The record is from RNAcentral. Lineage: Bacteria; Pseudomonadati; Pseudomonadota; Betaproteobacteria; Burkholderiales; Burkholderiaceae.
UGGGGGAUAGCCCGGCGAAAGCCGGAUUAAUACCGCAUACGAUCUGUGGAUGAAAGCGGGGGAUCUUCGGACCUCGCGCUACAGGGGCGGCCGAUGGCAGAUUAGCUAGUUGGUGGGGUAAAGGCCUACCAAGGCGACGAUCUGUAGCUGGUCUGAGAGGACGACCAGCCACACUGGGACUGAGACACGGCCCAGACUCCUACGGGAGGCAGCAGUGGGGAAUUUUGGACAAUGGGCGAAAGCCUGAUCCAGCAAUGCCGCGUGUGUGAAGAAGGCCUUCGGGUUGUAAAGCACUUUUGUCCGGAAAGAAAACCUCCGUGGUUAAUACCCGUGGGGGAUGACGGUACCGGAAGAAUAAGCACCGGCUAACUACGUGCCAGCAGCCGCGGUAAUACGUAGGGUGCAAGCGUUAAUCGGAAUUACUGGGCGUAAAGCGUGCGCAGGCGGUUCGCUAAGACAGAUGUGAAAUCCCCGGGCUUAACCUGGGAACUGCAUUUGUGACUGGCGGGCUAGAGUAUGGCAGAGGGGGGUAGAAUUCCACGUGUAGCAGUGAAAUGCGUA